This 65-nucleotide transfer RNA is filed under the name Numidum massiliense. It matches the Rfam family "tRNA". Rfam says of the family: Transfer RNA (tRNA) molecules are approximately 80 nucleotides in length. Their secondary structure includes four short double-helical elements and three loops (D, anti-codon, and T loops). The record is from RNAcentral. Lineage: Bacteria; Bacillati; Bacillota; Bacilli; Caryophanales; Bacillaceae.
GGCGUAGUUUAAUGGCAGAACAGUGGUCUCCAAAACCAUUAGUGUGGGUUCGACUCCUGCCGCCC